CAUGCACUCUUUGAUUGAAACGUGUAAUUGUGUAUUUCCUGUUUUGCUAUCUAUUGUUGGUUCUGGUUGGUUAGUAUCCACACACAGAGAGAGACAGAGCACACCCAACAGAGACAGUAAACAGCUGUGAAGAUUUGUCAAGACCUUGCAAAUGAAAACAGAUAUUUUGAGAAGACUGUCUGUGUAAUCUGCCGUUAUUCACAUUGAGUUGAAAAACAACAUUUUUUUAUUAAGAAUCAUGAAAAGAGGAACAGUGAAAACAGUCUACCAAGGAGUAUAGCCGAGUAUAGCUCUCUGCCGCAGUGGCAGUUCUGAAAGUGAUGAUUUAAUUUGUUGGUUUAGGACUUGAUUGCAUGCAGUGACACCAGCAUGGUUUUGUGUGAAAAUCAACCUGGACCUUAACGUGUGUCUAGGCCAGGUUUUGCAAACCAGUCAGUUAUACGAAGCUCAGAGAGAAAGUGACAUGGGCUACAUGACUGCUAGCAUGAUGGAGUCGUGAGUGACUUAGAACAGAGUGACAGAGUUGGGGAUGGGAAAUGGAGUCUGAGAAAACCAAGCCCAUGAUGGUGCUGACUGGGUUGUAACAGCUGUAGUGGCUUUAGCUGGGCCGGGGGAGUCCCGCUGGGCCUCUGCAUUGGCCUGGCUGGCUCAGCCUGUUGCUGAGGCUGUCAUGGCAGAUGUUGCUGGCAAGGGAGCAGAAAAUGAUCAGCUAUACAGCAUAUAGUUCUCCCAAAGAAGACAGGCUGUGCUGAAGGGUUGGUGGUCUCUGGAGCACAAAGGGGAGGUGUGAUCUACAAUACACAGCUCCCAUGGAGGCUGUGCAUUUAGCAGGUACCCCUAACACCUGUGCAGUAAGUCACUCACUUCAAUAUAGGGAAACUUAACCCCUGGAGUGUUCAUUUUAGAUAAAGGGACUGUGUGUCAAUCCAAAUCCCCUAUCAUAACACAUAUGUCUUGUAUGACAGCCCCUUGAGAUAAAUGGCUCUAUAGUACACAGGAUAAACACACCUAUUUUUUACCUCCUCUUGCUGAGGAGUGCAUGACAGUGACGUAUGGACUUCAUAUGUGCACCUCUUUCUUAUCAAGAGUGGGCACACCUUUACAUGCAUUGUGUGACAUCAAGGUGUUCCCUGACCGUUGAAAGAAAAAAAGCAUUUGACAAAUGGCAUGAUGUGUCAUUGUGGUCGUUGGCAAGUGGUAUUAGUUCAUUCUACAGAAAUACACUAUAAUAUGUCUGAAGCAAGCCUAAUGUAGCCUCUGUAUGAAGAACAAUGGAGAAAAAAACUAGCCUGAGGCACAAUAGAUACAGUUAGACAGAAGGGUGCCAUCUAGUGGUAUAUUUACAAAGAAACAGGGACACUGAACAUAAGGCCUAUGACUUUAUGUCUUUCAAUUUUGAAUAAACAAACACUGAAAAUCAAAGUAGACACAUACCUUAGUAGAUUGCACACAUCCCAAACAUUUCUUCAAAACAGCAUGGUUCUCAGACACAGUCUCCAUCAACUGCAGGUACAAAAUCUCUUACCUAAACACGUCAUAGGGGCGCUUUGAUACUUUCGACCUGUCCCAUCCUAAUUAAGGUCCCAGCGGCCCAGAUUCACAGGGGCCCAGAUUCACAAAACGUUCUUAAGAAGAAAUGUCUUCUUAACUGCCAUUUUCUCCAUAACUAUAGACUUAAGAAGAAAGUUAAGCAAAGUUGCUAUUCUUAAAAAAGGUUCUUGGAAAUGUUCUUGAGCUAUUUCUCCUGAAGCAAAAAGUUAAGAAGAAAUGUAGAUUCUUGAACUAAAGUUAUUGGAAAUUCUACACUAGCUAAAAUAGUUUCCGUAUUGAUUAUUUUAGCCCAAGAAGAUGUUUUAGAACCGUAAUCUCUAGGCAACCAAUUUAGCUAGCUAGCUAGCUAGCAAUGGUAAUCAUGUUAGCAUAUUUAUUAUUGCGAUUACUGUUCUAAAACAUGUUCUUGGGUUUAAAAUAAUCAAUACUGAAACUUUCAGAUUAAGUUUGUGGGUGUAUUAAGAAGACAUUUCUCUUAAGAAGGUUUUGUGAAUCUGGGCCCAGGUUCCUACCCCGUCACAAUAAUACAAGUGUUAUUCCAGUUG
Molecule: long non-coding RNA, 2096 nt
Organism: Oncorhynchus nerka (sockeye salmon)
Lineage: Eukaryota; Metazoa; Chordata; Actinopteri; Salmoniformes; Salmonidae
Exons: 2
Source: RefSeq, a predicted model, not a curated record